This 468-nucleotide ribosomal RNA is filed under the name uncultured bacterium. Its description in RNAcentral is "partial 16S ribosomal RNA". It matches the Rfam family "Bacterial small subunit ribosomal RNA", at positions 28 to 507 of the family's 1533-position model. The record is from RNAcentral.
GACGAACGCUGGCGGCGUGCUUAACACAUGCAAGUCGAACGGAAAGGCCCUGCUUUUGUGGGGUGCUCGAGUGGCGAACGGGUGAGUAACACGUGAGUAACCUGCCCUUGACUUUGGGAUAACUUCAGGAAACUGGGGCUAAUACCGGAUAGGAGCUCCUGCUGCAUGGUGGGGGUUGGAAAGUUUCGGCGGUUGGGGAUGGACUCGCGGCUUAUGAGCUUGUUGGUGGGGGAGUGGCUUACCAAGGCUUUGACGGGUAGCCGGCCUGGGAGGGUGACCGGCCACAUUGGGCCUGAGAUACGGACCAGAGUCCUACGGGAGGCAGCAGUGGGGAGUAUUGCACAAUGGGCGGAAGCCGGAUGCAGCAACGUCGCGUGCGGGAUGACGGCCUUCGGGUUGUAAACCGCUUUCGCCUGUGACGAAGCGUGAGUGACGGUAAUGGGUAAAGAAGCACCGGCUAACUACGUG